UACGUAGGGGGCAAGCGUUAUCCGGAAUUACUGGGUGUAAAGGGAGCGUAGGCGGCAUGGUAAGUAAGAUGUGAAAGCCCGAGGCUUAACCUCGAGGAUUGCAUUUUAAACUAUCAAGCUAGAGUACAGGAGAGGAAAGCGGAAUUCCUAGUGUAGCGGUGAAAUGCGUAGAUAUUAGGAAGAACACCAGUGGCGAAGGCGGCUUUCUGGACUGAAACUGACGCUGAGGCUCGAAAGCGUGGGGAGCGAACAGG
Molecule: ribosomal RNA, 254 nt
Filed under: Anaerotignum lactatifermentans
Lineage: Bacteria; Bacillati; Bacillota; Clostridia; Lachnospirales; Anaerotignaceae
Description: partial 16S ribosomal RNA
Rfam family: Bacterial small subunit ribosomal RNA
Source: RNAcentral